AGUACGACUGCCGAGUUCCCAAUAACUUUUCAAGUCAGGAAACCAACUGGCUGGCUGGUGAAGUUUCCGAAUCCCGGACUUGUCUAACACCUGUACGCAUUGUCAGACUGGACGAUGUACGCGUCAACAAGCGAUGGAUUCUCGUCCUUAUGGAGGGCUCAGAUAUAACAUGUGGGAGUAUGGUGCAUGUAUGUGCGAGCGGUCCAUAAGGACGAGAGUCCAUCGCUUGAUCCCGCGUGCAUAGAAGUAUUUGAUUCUGAACGUCACCGGCCAGUUGGGGAGGACGCUGGUAACAAUUUGUGCCUUCUCGCACACAUUGUCACCAAGUACCCACCACCGCCACUGUUAUUUUAACAGCCUCGUACUUAUCCGCCCCUACCUUGACGGACUCUACAUAGCCAGUCGGUCUCCUGACUUGUAAGGAUAUGGUGGCUCGGCUAUUAUGCUUCCGAUCAGAUCUCAAGGUCGCGAGGGUUCGGCUUCGUGACCUUUGACAGUCCCGAGCACGUAGACGCGGUGCAGAAGGCUCGGCCACACAAGGUUGACGGCCGCCUGGUAGAGACUAAGAGAGCUGUGCAAAGAGGGGAGACAAACAACUCAGUCCUCCCCACCUCCUUCCAUCCUGACCCCACAUUCAUUGGUGGCCUGCCGCAGGUAGAGAGAGAGAGAGAGAGAGAGAGAGAGAGAGAGAGAGAGAGAGAGAGAGAGAGAGAGAGAGAGAGAGAGAGAGAGAGAGAGAGAGAGAGA
Portunus trituberculatus (swimming crab) is the source of this 747-nucleotide long non-coding RNA. RefSeq lists it as uncharacterized. The record is from RefSeq and is a predicted model, not a curated record. Lineage: Eukaryota; Metazoa; Arthropoda; Malacostraca; Decapoda; Portunidae. The transcript has 2 exons.